GUGGUUUUUUUACAGUAAAAAUACUACUAGGAUUUUAAGUUCUUUGUGUGAUUUCAGAUCAGUAGUACUAAUGCAGUAUGUCAGUGACAAAAAACAACUAAAUUCAGUUGAGCUGAAAAGAUACCAAACAAGGCAAGGGGGAAAAAAUAAAAUGAAACAAUUUGUGGGUGAAAUACAAACGUAAACUCAAAAGGAGUCAAAAAUGUCCGGGUGUAUUUCAGACCUCAGAGAUCCAACAAAUCAUGAAAAAUUAGGUUUAAAUGUUUGUUCAUGACAGUGCAGAUUUCUGAUAUUUUGUGUAAUUUAAGCUGUAACAAUGUGAUUGUUUUCUAACAAAAAACAGUGAAACUUAAGUUAGACAUGUGUUUGUAAAUGAACCGCCCCAUGUUGUGUAGCUUUCUGGAUUUUAUACUUAUUGGGCUCCAUAUUUAUUUAUUAUACAGGCUAUACAGUACAUAACAUCAAAACUCACAUGUUUUAUGUAACUAAAGUGUGUAAUUAUGUGGGCUACAGACAAUAAUUAAGUUAUAGACUAUAUUUAUAUGAAAAACGUGUAUACUUACUGCAUUUGAAUCAUUUUAACCAUAUGUAACCACCUGCAUAUGUGUUUGGAAAAAAAAAGGCUUUGAUUUUGCCACCCCAUUUGAUUUCUUUGCCACCCUAAGAAAAUUUCUCUAGCUCCGCCCCUGAGCUGCAGAGGUUCUAGAGUAGAAUAGAAUAGCCUUGUAUUGUCCUUGUACAUGUAGAACAAAACGGUGGCAUGAGGAGUUUAGACAACACAGGAGGAAGACACUGAGCAUCACUGCUGCUGCUGUUCAGUCUCUCACAGGAACUCAACACCUCCACAAGUCACAGGCCCUGUAAGGGCUUUGGAGCGUGAUGUCACGGGGGUGGGCGUGGAAAGGAUUUUGGCCUGAUCCGCCAUUUUCCAGGUCCAAACAAAGCGCAAGCGAAAAAGGAGCGAAGGCACACACAACAGCCAUGGUUCGUACUUGCUGUGUGGUCGGCUGCAAUGUGUGAUCGCACGACCGGCAAGAGAAUAAGCUUGAAAAUGGUUUAUCUUUUCAUUCUUUCCCAACCUGGAAGCAACAUGAGGCAGCUCGUGUAUCGAUGUUACCAAACGAAGGCGUCUAGCCUGGAUAGCAGCUGUGAGACGAGCUGAUAUCCAGCUCUCUUCCAUCUCCAAAUAUCUGUUGGUGCUCCAGACAUUUUCAUUCCACAAACCAGCCUAUGAAAUGGAUGAAACACAUCGUGACUGGGUUCCAGCGCUACACAAGGGACCUGCUUCAAACAUACCACCAUGCCAAUCAGAUUACUUCUUCCAUGUGAGGGUGAAGAGGUGACCCUUCUGGAUAAGAUGGUGAAGGUUUGCUGCGUUUGUUGAACAGUGUGGUAGUAAAACCAGGGAAAAUGAAACUUGCUCCUGUUAAAUAUUCUUAAGUCUUGUGCUGUUUAAAUAGCGGUAAUUUUUCAAAAGAUACAGUAAAUAAUGUUAGUAGUGGGUGAUAUCAUGUAAACACUGUCAUGAUUUUGUGUAAACAUUUUGUCUUUUAUAAACUAUAAAUGACAUGGAUUCUACAUUGUAACUGAUGUGAUGUUCUAUAAAGUGGUUUUAAUAAUAAAAA
Oreochromis aureus is the source of this 1625-nucleotide long non-coding RNA. The record is from Ensembl. NCBI's taxonomy places the organism in Eukaryota, Metazoa, Chordata, Actinopteri, Cichliformes, Cichlidae.